Molecule: unclassified non-coding RNA, 374 nt
Filed under: uncultured bacterium
Lineage: Bacteria
Description: contains 16S-23S intergenic spacer region
Source: RNAcentral
UCCGGUUUGUCACCGGCAGUCUCAUUAGAGUGCCCUUGCGUAGCAACUAAUGAUAAGGGUUGCGCUCGUUGCGGGACUUAACCCAACAUCUCACGACACGAGCUGACGACAGCCAUGCAGCAUCUGUGUUCAGGUUCUCUUUCGAGCACGUCACCAUCUCUGGCGACUUCCUGACAUGUCAAGGGUAGGUAAGGUUUUUCGCGUUGCGUCGAAUUAAACCACAUGCUCCACCGCUUGUGUGGGCCCCCGUCAAUUCCUUUGAGUUUCAGCCUUGCGGCCGUACUCCCCAGGCGGGGCACUUAACGCGUUAACUGCGGCACAGAGGGAUUCGACUCCCCCCACACCUAGUGUCCAUCGUUUACAGCGUGGACUAC